AGAGGGUGAUCGGCCACAUUGGGACUGAGAUACGGCCCAGACUCCUACGGGAGGCAGCAGUUAAGAAUCUUGCGCAAUGGGCGAAAGCCUGACGCAGCGACGCCGCGUGAAUGAUGAAGGCCUUCGGGUUGUAAAGUUCAAUAAGCAGGGAAGAAUAAGUGAGGUCUAAUACGCCUCAUGAUGACGGUACCUGUCUAAAGCCUCGGCUAACUACGUGCCAGCAGCCGCGGUAACACGUAUGAGGCGAGCGUUGUUCGGAAUUAUUGGGCGUAAAGCGCGUGUAGGCGGGGAAUUAAGUUAGGUGUGAAAUCCACGGGCUCAACCCGUGAAUUGCAUCAAAUACUGAUUCUCUUGAGUUCGGGAGAGGAGAGCGGAAUUUCCGGUGUAGCGGUGAAAUGCGUAGAUAUCGGAAAGAACACCAGUGGCGAAGGCGGCUCUCUGGCCUAGAACUGACGCUGAGAUGCGAAAGCGUGGGGAGCGAACGGGAUUAGAUACCCCGGUAGUCCACGCCGUAAACGUUGUAUACUAGGUGUUGGCGGAUUUAUCCGCCAGUGCCGCAGCUAACGCAUUAAGUAUACCGCCUGGGGAGUACACUCGCAAGGGUGAAACUCAAAGAAGUUGACGGGGGCCCGCACAAGCGGUGGAUCAUGUGGUUUAAUUCGAUGAUACGCGAAGAACCUUACCUGGGCUUGAACUGUGCCUGACAGGUGUAGAGAUACACUCUCCUUCGGGCAGGUACAGAGGUGCUGCAUGGUUGUCGUCAGCUCUCGUGAGAUGUUGGGUUAAGUCCCGCAACGAGCGCAACCCUUACCCCUUGUUGCUAACAGGUAACGCUGAGCACUCUAGGGGGACUGCCGGUGAUAAACCGGAGGAAGGUGAGGAUGACGUCAAAUCAUCACGGCCCUUAUGUCCAGGGCUACACACGUGAUACAAUGGUCGGUACAAAGAGAUGCAAUACCGCGAGGUGGAGCAAAUCUCAAAAAACCGAUCUCAGUUCGGAUUGUAGUCUGCAACUCGACUACAUGAAGUUGGAAUCGCUAGUAAUCGCAGAUCAGAACGCUGUGGUGAAUACGUUCCCGGGCCUUGUACACACCGCCCGUCACACCAUCCGAGUCGACAGCACCCAAUGUGGCUGGUCUAACCCGCAAGGGAGGAAGGUCAUUAAGGUGAAGCUGGUAAGGAGGGUGAAGUCGUAACAAGGUA
RNAcentral lists this ribosomal RNA (1203 nucleotides) under metagenome. RNAcentral's name for it is "bacterial SSU rRNA". It matches the Rfam family "Bacterial small subunit ribosomal RNA", at positions 295 to 1498 of the family's 1533-position model. The record is from RNAcentral.